UCCCCCGCCCCCCCCUUCCCCGCCGCCCUUCUCCUCCUCUUCCUCAUCCUCCAGCGCAGGCGGCGAUGCUGAAUCACGGCGGGCAGCCGCCCCGCUCCGCCGCCUCUCCCCGGGGACAGCAGCCCGGCUGUCGGCGGAGCCCCCCCGACUGCCGGCGGGCAGGGGGCUGAGGGGAGACGGCGGUUAAACGGCCGCCGGCAGGGGCGGCACGGGCGGAGGGGGGGAUGCAGGCGCCCCGCCGCUCCCCUCACCGUUACCUGGCGAGGCGGCCCCGGCACCGCGCUCCUCUCGGGGGGCGCCUCACGGUCGGCGCAGUGAUGUGAGGGGCGGUGCGGCGAGAAAUACAACGUGCUAGGAGGCAGCAAGAGUAUGACUGCUCAUUAUGGGAGCACAAGCCAAGAGAGAUCCCCCUGCCACAGAACAAGAGCCUCAGCAACCCAUCUCAUAUCAUCUGGGCAAGAAAGAUAAGCAGCAUAGGAGUCAACUCAUAGGAGAGCUAAGGA
This is a long non-coding RNA of Cygnus olor (mute swan), 503 nucleotides long. RefSeq lists it as uncharacterized. Lineage: Eukaryota; Metazoa; Chordata; Aves; Anseriformes; Anatidae. The record is from RefSeq and is a predicted model, not a curated record. The transcript is spliced from 3 exons.